GGAGAGCUUGCUCUCUGGGUGGCGAGUGGCGGACGGGUGAGGAAUGCAUCGGAAUCUACUCUUUCGUGGGGGAUAACGUAGGGAAACUUACGCUAAUACCGCAUACGACCUACGGGUGAAAGCCGGGGACCUUCGGGCCUGGCGCGAAUGAAUGAGCCGAUGCCCGAUUAGCUAGUUGGCGGGGUAAGAGCCCACCAAGGCGACGAUCGGUAGCUGGUCUGAGAGGAUGAUCAGCCACACUGGAACUGAGACACGGUCCAGACUCCUACGGGAGGCAGCAGUGGGGAAUAUUGGACAAUGGGCGCAAGCCUGAUCCAGCCAUACCGCGUGGGUGAAGAAGGCCUUCGGGUUGUAAAGCCCUUUUGUUGGGAAAGAAAAGCAGCUGGUUAAUACCCGGUUGUUCUGACGGUACCCAAAGAAUAAGCACCGGCUAACUUC
RNAcentral lists this ribosomal RNA (438 nucleotides) under Stenotrophomonas sp. Its description in RNAcentral is "bacterial SSU rRNA". It matches the Rfam family "Bacterial small subunit ribosomal RNA", at positions 73 to 504 of the family's 1533-position model. Lineage: Bacteria; Pseudomonadati; Pseudomonadota; Gammaproteobacteria; Lysobacterales; Lysobacteraceae. The record is from RNAcentral.